This 92-nucleotide transfer RNA is filed under the name Polyporus arcularius HHB13444. It matches the Rfam family "tRNA". From Rfam's summary of the family: Transfer RNA (tRNA) molecules are approximately 80 nucleotides in length. The record is from Rfam by way of RNAcentral. Lineage: Eukaryota; Fungi; Basidiomycota; Agaricomycetes; Polyporales; Polyporaceae.
GGUGAGAUGGCCGAGCGGUCUAAGGCGCCAGACUAAGGAUAUUGUUCGCAAUCUGGUCCGAAAGGGCGUGGGUUCGAAUCCCACUCUCAUCA